CUGGAGCGAGGUCCCUGCUUAGCCGUGUGUUUCCAGACAAGUUUAUUUGGCUGAAGUGGCACCUGAGCGGGACACAAGGUGUUGCUCCAUCUCUUCUGUGUAUGCCGGGGGUACCGAGACCAGCUUCAUGCUAUGCGACCAGGUCCACUGCGAAGUCCAACACUCUGAACCCUCCUGGAUGUCAGAGAGUCACACCAAGCUCCUGGGACAGAGAAGAGAGGAGGAAAUUUCCGGGUUCUUCAAGGCAGUCUUGGCCAUGCAGGAAAGAAAGCAGCCUUGCAGAUAAGUAUUCAAAUUUACCCGCCUGUGGCCCAUCCGUCUGCCCUUGGCCAGGGCUCUUUGCCCUUGCAGUCAAGUGGGGACCUCAGCACUGUUGCCUGUGAGACACAUUCCUCUCAAGUAGAGGCUCCAAGUGUGUCUGUCUCUAGCUUUGGCCAGGUGCUGACAGCAAGCCCUGACGGUAUGUUCAGAGGGUCCCUAACUGCCUGGCUUCCGUCUGCAGGCUGAUGAAGAUAGCACAGCUGACCCAAAGCAAACCUGGGUUAGGAUCCAUAGGCAGCCUCUGGCCUUCUCCAGACUGGUGUGUGGGCUGGUCUCCAAAGACCCCUAACCCACCCUCCUUUGGAGUCCCCCAGUCUCCUCGAGUGCAUGGGGUGCCAGGAGAGGGGUGGGGAGGGUAAGGCGGGGCACAAAGUUCCCUCCUGUCUUCCACCUAGUGCCUCAGUCAAGUGACAGUCACUAUUGUGCACUGCAAGGGUCCCAGGGCCCAGAGACAGGCACAGACACAGGCUUCCUAGGGCCGCAGCACGGCAAAUGCAGAGCUGGGACAGAACUGCACAUUCCUGCCUCUCUGCCCAGUGCUCUCACUGGGCAGUUCCCAAGCUGCCUAGCUUGGCCUGCUUCUUCUGGGCUCACAGUCUGCUGCUGGGGAACAGGGAGGUUGCUGGGGCAGGGGUGGGUGUGGUUCUCUCCUGCGGCCUGGGUGGCUCUUCUGUCUUCCAGGAUGGCCCUGUGUGGGGUCUCUGCACAGAAGGAACCAGGCCUGGGUAUCACCAUGUUGGCUGGAUGCUGCGGCGGACACUGGGAUCCAGCGCUGAACACCAGACAUGCGGUCCCCUUCUCUUGCAUCUUCAUGUAGGAGCACACUUCCUCACAGCUGGGCGAGGAGGCCACGUUGCCCCCGCACAUCCCCAGGACUCUGGCUUGCUCCGCUCUGGGGCACUGGGUGAAUGGACUUUGGCUGCAGGAACCCGGGAGCAGCCCUCGGUGGUCCCAUCUCUGAAGACCUCGCCCUUCCAGUGCCCGUGGGAAGUCUUCUGA
Molecule: long non-coding RNA, 1320 nt
Filed under: Chinchilla lanigera (long-tailed chinchilla)
Lineage: Eukaryota; Metazoa; Chordata; Mammalia; Rodentia; Chinchillidae
Description: lncRNA (ENSCLAG00000024501.1)
Source: RNAcentral